Molecule: ribosomal RNA, 236 nt
Filed under: uncultured bacterium
Lineage: Bacteria
Description: partial 16S ribosomal RNA
Rfam family: Bacterial small subunit ribosomal RNA
Source: RNAcentral
AGCAAAUCCCAAAAAUAACGUCCCAGUUCGGACUGUAGUCUGCAACCCGACUACACGAAGCUGGAAUCGCUAGUAAUCGCGAAUCAGAAUGUCGCGGUGAAUACGUUCCCGGGUCUUGUACACACCGCCCGUCACACCAUGGGAGUUUGUAACGCCCAAAGUCGGUGGCCUAACCUUUAUGGAGGGAGCCGCCUAAGGCGGGACAGAUGACUGGGGUGAAGUCGUAACAAGGUAAC